UCGGACGUGGUGUACGGGAUAUGACGAGGGGUUCAAUAACUCGCCGAACGGGGUUCGAUUCCCCGCGUCUGAA
Mycena galericulata is the source of this 73-nucleotide non-coding RNA. The record is from the annotation of a GenBank genome assembly. NCBI's taxonomy places the organism in Eukaryota, Fungi, Basidiomycota, Agaricomycetes, Agaricales, Mycenaceae.